This 72-nucleotide transfer RNA is filed under the name Bos taurus (domestic cattle). It matches the Rfam family "tRNA". From Rfam's summary of the family: Transfer RNA (tRNA) molecules are approximately 80 nucleotides in length. The record is from Rfam by way of RNAcentral. RNAcentral also lists the same sequence under 1 other name. Lineage: Eukaryota; Metazoa; Chordata; Mammalia; Artiodactyla; Bovidae.
UCCCUGGGAGUCCAGUGGUUAGAACUUAGCUCUUUCACUGCCAUGGCCCGGGUUCAAUCCCUGGUCAGGGAG